CCACUUGAUAUUGUCCCAUAGGUGGGUAGGGUACUGUUCUUUUAAAAAUUUCAUCCUUUAUCUCUAUUUUCUUUUGAUGGGAUAAUUUAUAUUACUCUCUUCAUUUUUACUGACCCAUUCUUUUGUAAUCUUAAAUUUAUUGUUAAGUGUAUCCGUUGAACUUAGUGUAAAGCUAAAAUAGUUGAUAAAGCAGAUAAGGGGAACAUGGAAAAAUUUUCAAGGUAGAGCUGACUUUUCAAAGAACUUCAUGGUUUCAGGAGCACGUGCACUACAGUGCCAUGUUUGGAAAACUUAGUUUUCACUAUCGAACAAUAUUGACAUAUUUCUCAAAAAUCAAUUGAUCAUAUACUGGAUUUAUAAUUAUAUUCCAUCGAUCUAUAUAUUUAACAUUGUAAGAAAUCUGUCUUUAUUAUUAUAGCUUUGCACUAAGUCUUGAAAUCAGAAAUUGUGAGUCCUCCAAAUUUUUUCUUUGUCAAAUUUAAGGUAUAAGUCAAUAUAUGAUGUGUCCACUUAACACUAAGUUUAAUAUUAUCUUAUAAUGCAAUAUUGCCUUGUGCAUGGUGCUAACAUAAUAUUUAUAGGAUUCCAUUUUAAUUUAUGUUUAUUCCAAGACCACCUAUCAGAUAGUGAAUAUCUUCUGUUUAAUUGAUACGAAUGAAUGUCUUCAAAUGUAACUACCAACAAAUUUCACUAGAAUAUUUUCCUAUUCCUGCUCAA
Molecule: long non-coding RNA, 717 nt
Filed under: Pan troglodytes (chimpanzee)
Lineage: Eukaryota; Metazoa; Chordata; Mammalia; Primates; Hominidae
Description: long non-coding RNA NONPTRT016024
Source: RNAcentral